This 23-nucleotide small nuclear RNA is filed under the name Arabidopsis thaliana (thale cress). RNAcentral's name for it is "snRNA_06224". Lineage: Eukaryota; Viridiplantae; Streptophyta; Magnoliopsida; Brassicales; Brassicaceae. The record is from RNAcentral.
AACCUUGGGUAACAUGUCCAAGG